Molecule: ribosomal RNA, 322 nt
Filed under: uncultured eukaryote
Lineage: Eukaryota
Description: partial 18S ribosomal RNA
Rfam family: Eukaryotic small subunit ribosomal RNA
Source: RNAcentral
CCCUUAGAUGUUCUGGGUCGCACGCGUGCUACACUGAGUAAUUCAAUGGGUAAGGGAACGCUAGAGCAUUACCUAAUCUUGAAAUUUGCUCGUGAUGGGGAUCGACGGUUGCAAUUUUCCGUCGUGAACGAGGAAUACCUUGUAGGCGCAUGUCAUCAUCAUGCGCCGAAUACGUCCCUGCCCUUUGUACACACCGCCCGUCGCUCCUACCGAUUGAGUGAUCCGGUGAGGCUCUGGGACCUGGACGGAAAGAGCGUUUCGCUUGUUCUGUUUGGGAAACUUGGUCGAACCUUAUCAUUUAGAGGAAGGAGAAGUCGUAACA